UGUCCUACGGGAGGCUGCAGUAGGGAAUAUUGCACAAUGGAGGAAACUCUGAUGCAGCGACGCCGCGUGAGUGACGAAGGCCUUCGGGUUGUAAAGCUCUGUUCUCAGGGAAAAAGAAAGUGAUUGUACCUGAGGAGAAAGGACCGGCUAACUUCGUGCCAGCAGCCGCGGUAAGACGAGGGGUCCAAGCGUUGUUCGGAAUCAUUGGGCGUAAAGCGGGUGUAGGUGGCUCUAUAAGUCAGAAGUGAAAGCCCCGGGCUUAACCCGGGAAGUGCUUUUGAUACUGCAGAGCUUGAAUGUGGGAGAGGGUAGUGGAAUUCCAGGUGUAGUGGUGAAAUACGUAGAUAUCUGGAGGAACACCGGUGGCGAAGGCGGCUACCUGGCCCAACAUUGACACUGAGACCCGAAAGCGUGGGGAUCAAACAGGAUUAGAUACCCUGGUAGUCAUC
Molecule: ribosomal RNA, 449 nt
Filed under: uncultured Bdellovibrio sp.
Lineage: Bacteria; Pseudomonadati; Bdellovibrionota; Bdellovibrionia; Bdellovibrionales; Pseudobdellovibrionaceae
Description: bacterial SSU rRNA
Rfam family: Bacterial small subunit ribosomal RNA
Source: RNAcentral